CUGGAAUUGUUUUGGAUUUGGGUGUUGAGGUCUUCUGAUGAAAUGUAGCUUGAUGUCCUAGCUACCAUAUGCCUUUGGAAUUUCUGCAUUUGGACCUGUUUAGACUGAGUUGUACUGAUUACAGCAUAGUGUAAUUUGUAAACCUGCAAUUACGGUUCUGGUUUGGUAUUUGGCAUAUAUGACUUAGUUGUGCUGGGAUUUGGACUGAGUGACCUUCUACAUUGUUGUAGCCCUGGUUCUUAGCUUCGAAAUGGUGGGUCUUUCACCUUCAUCCGACCAUCGUAGCGCCUUUGGUACCAUUACCGCAAAAUGACGUCAAAACUAUUUUUCUGGUUUUGAGCUUAAUUUUCAUUUCCGGACUUUUCCCUAGCUUGACUUGUACUAGUACUACUUGGAGCUUGCUGAAUGGUUAUUGGAUGAACUUGUUGUUGUGUGUGUACCUUUGGGUUGGAAUGAGGAAAUAAUGAAGCCGUGAUGGCCGGAAAAUUUAGCAAAUUCCGGGGAAGUGCUGUCCGAACUUUUAAAGGACUUGUUUGCCUUGAGUUUGUGAUCUAAGACUUGGAUUUGAGCAAGGCAAUGAUAUAUGAUGGAUGGUUUCUGAGCCAUGGAGGUGAGUGACCCUAAACUAUUUCCAAAGUACUUGUGAAACGUUUCUUGCAUUAUUUACUACUUGUGCCAGCAUAAUUCAAGGUGUGAGGUGAGGUUCAAUCCUUUACGGACAACAAACCAUAACUGGAUGACCUAAGCUUAGGUUAUAAACUUUAUACAAUUUCAAAACAGUAAUGAGGGGAACACAUUACUUUAAUUAUAGUUAAACCUAAGCUUGGAGCGAUAAAGAUUUACACAAGUGUAGGUGCAAACCUUGGAGCUUGCAAAUCUAUGGAGGUUAUAUGUCUAGACACCUGUCCCUAAAAAGAUAAUUGAAGGGUUUUAAAAUGUAGAGGUUUGCAGGGACAGUAUACUGGGUUCUAUUGGAGAGGUUAUGAGCCCUACACCUGUCCCUGGGUAUACCAAACGGCAUCCCUUAUCAAAUUAUUUGGAUACUUCUGGUCACCAACUAUAAUAUAAAAUGUAUAACCAACUCUCGCUGGGACUCAGUCGCUCACUACAAACCUCAAUUGAAUUUCAAGAUAUAUAUAUAUAUCAAAGGUUCCCAAACUUUACAUAUCAAAAGCGAAGCGUCCACGCUACCACAGCGCCACUCUGAUCCUUGAUCACAAUUAGUAUACAGGAGGAAGUCCAAAACUAGACUAUUACACAUCCAAUCAAUUCUAAACGUUCAAUACAAUCCCAAUAUGAAUGAUCACACAAAAGGAAAUCCAAGUUCAAGCCACACAUGAGAUAAUCCAUGAAUAAACACUACAAGCCACUCCUUCGCCUUGAGCCCUGUGGAGGGGAAUAAAAUAGUUUUGGGGUGAGCUAGAAGCUCAGCGAGUAACCAGUAAAAUCAGUAAUCAAAUCUGUUUAACAAUAGUUCAUUUCAAUGAUGUCAUUUCAAUAUGGAGUAUCAAUAAUUCAAGAAACAUUUACCAUGGAAAGCGAUAGUAACAUUCAUGAAAAGGAUACGUUCGUUCUCCUGUCAUUUCAUUGCAUUUGGUUUCAUUCGUGCAUUCAUUCACCCCGUCCCUGGCUUUUGGCCAGGCUCCACCAACCUACAAGGUAAUACUCGAGUAUACCGAAACGUUCACCCAAGUUCCUAGUCGCCCGACCGAGUCCGCAUCUGGCUCAAGACGACCGGUAACAAGGGGCAAUGGCCAGUUCAGCCCAAAAGGCUUACAUUCAUGCGCAAGUAGCAUUUAAUCAUUAAUCAUUGAAAAUUUCAUAUUUAUUUAGGUCGAGUGCGAUAAAGUACACACUCGCCUAGAAAACUCGUUUUAACAAUCAUUGAAAGCAAAAUCAAUAAUAACAAGACACUGAUAUGCAAGCACGCAUGAUAUGUAAGAAAACAGAUCCAAAAUUAACUUUGAAAACUGUUCAAAAGUAAAUAAUGCGGGAAAGCGGUUCAAAAGUAAAUUUGGAAACAGUUCAAAAGUAAAUAAUGCAAGAAACGGUUCAUAAUAAUUUUAGAAAUAGUUUGAGGUCACUCACCUCCACGGCUCUGAAACCAUCCAUCAUAUAGCAUUGCCUUGCUCAAAUCCAAGUCUUAGAUCACAAACCCAAUGCAACAAGUCCCUUCAAAAUUCGGACAGCACUUCCCCUAAAUUUGCUAACUUUUCCAGCCAUCACGGCUUCAUUAUAUUUCUCAUUCAACCCAAAGGUACACACACAACAACAAGGUCAUCCAAUAGCCAUCAAGCAAGCUCCAAGUAGUACUAGUACAAGUCAAGCUAGGGAAAAGUCCGGAAAUGAAAGUUAAGCUCAAAACCAGAAAAAUAGUUUUGGACGUCAUUUUACGGUAAUGGUACCAAAGGCGCUACGAUUGUCAGAUGAAGGUACAAGACCCACCUUUUCGAAGCUAAGAACCAGGGCUACAACAAUGUAGAAGGUCACUCAGUCCAAAUCCCAGCACAACUAAGUCAUAUAUGCCAAAUACCAAACCAGAACCGUAAUUGCAGGUUUACAAAUUACACUAUGCUGUAAUCAGUACAACUCAGUCUAAACAGGUCGAAAUGCAGAAAUUCCAAAGGAAUAUGGUAGCUAGGACAUCAAGCUACAUUUCAUCAGAAGACCUCAACACCCAAAUCCAAAGCAAUUCCAGUCAAAACAGACGAUUACAAGCGCAGUUCGCACAUUCUGAUCAACCCAGAACAGCAACAGUAAAAUCGAUAUAUCUCAUUCUACACUACUCCAAUUGCACUGAAAAUUUACAGGCACCUCAAAAACAUCAAUACCUAUAACUUUCAUGUUUUACGCAAAGGCCAAUUCGGCCCCUAACCAUGAGAUACAAAACCGGACAGAAUUGGGGAUAUAAAACCCUAACUUUUCACAUUUCCUUCCAAAUCCAAAAUUGGUUGGAAUUUCCAAUCAUUUACACCUACUAGAGUCAUUAACCAUAAAUUCCCAUCAUCAAAGAUAUCCACAACAUCAUGAUCACAUUAAACCAUAAAAUUCCUCAAUAAAAUAAAAACUUCACCAAUUCAUCUCAAACCAAGAAACAAACCACAAAUUUCAGCACUUUAGCCACCACUAGGCACAAAUUAAGCAUCAUUAAGUGUAGGAGGAAGUGUAAUAACCACUUACCUAGUAAACAAGAGAGAAGGAGUUGUAGAACACCUUAGCUUCCUUAAAAACUUCACCAAACAAAUUACUAGCACCUAAUGGAGGGAUUUUAUGGAGUAGAAACUAGUUUAUGUGAUUGUUUUUGGAAGCUUGAGCUAAAUGGAAGCUAAAAUGUUGAAGAGUUUCUUUCUUCUUUGCUCAAGAGAGAACCGGCCAUGGAGGAGAAGAAAAGAGUGAAUUUUAGUGAUUUUUGUGAGAUAUUUAACUCAAUGGCAAAAAGUCAAAAAGGGUGAAUAGUUGUCUUAGGCUUCAACCACUCACAAAGUGACACGUGUCACUUCAUUAAAUGCAUUUCUAUCCUUUUGUUUCCUCUCACAUCAAUCACAUCUCAUCCUCCACUUAUCUCUUAACACCCGAUAAAUUUCACUCAGUAUCCGGAACUCAACCUUAUUGGCCGAAUUUUUCCGAACUUAUCGCACUAGUGGGUCCCACAUCCGGUAUACACUCUUAAUUUCUCAAAACCUAUUUGAUACUAGAAAAAUCAUCCAAAAACUAUAUCUGCCCAUUAAAAAUAUCUAGAAAAUUUCCCUACUAAAGAAAACGCAGAAAACAAGCCAUUAAAUAAAUAAAACCCUAGAAAAUGGGAGAAGUAUGGGUUCUCACACUCAUUUUUUUUCGGGGCGUCACAAUCUCCCCUCCUUAAAAGAAUGUCGUCCUCGACAUUCCCUCUUGUACCAAUCAAGUCAAGACAUCCCGCAAAAAUCUCUCAAGAGUCAAAUCAAACCCACAGUCCGGCAUCCUAAACUUCAAGCCUAGGAUACACUACAGAGAUCUGAAGCAUAAGCUCUGAUACCAAUUGUCACGACCCCACCUCCCCCUAAGGCGAACCAGAGGGUUUGGCGGGCCGCCUGCCCAGCUCUCGCCGGGACUCAGUCGUUCACUACAAACCUCAAUUGAAUUUCAAGAUAUAUAUAUAUAUCAAAGGUUCCCAAACUUUACAUAUCAAAAGCGAAGCGUCCACGCUACCGCAGCGCCACUCUGAUCCUUGAUCACAAUUAGUAUACAGGAGGAAGUCCAAAACUAGACUAUUACACAUCCAAUCAAUUCUAAACGUUCAAUACAAUCCCAAUAUGAAUGAUCACACAAAAGGAAAUCCAAGUUCAAGCCACACAUGAGAUAAUCCAUGAAUAAACACUACAAGCCACUCCUUCGCCUUGAGCCCUGUGGAGGGGAAUAAAAUAGUUUUGGGGUGACUUAGAAGCUCAGCGAGUAACCAGUAAAAUCAGUAAUCAAAUCUGUUUAACAAUAGUUCAUUUCAAUGAUGUCAUUUCAAUAUGGGUAUUACCUUGUAGGUUGGUGGAGCCUGGCCAAAAGCCAGGGACGGGGUGAAUGAAUGCACGAAUGAAACAAAAUGCAAUGAAAUGACAGGAGAACGAACGUAUCCUUUUCAUGAAUGUUACCAUCGCUUUCCAUUGUAAAUGUUUCUUGAAUUAUUGAUACUCCAUCAUUGAUUUAUGACAUCAUUGAAAUGAACUAUUGUUAAACCGAUUUGAUUACUGAUUUUACUGGUUACUCGCUGAGCUUCUAGCUCACCCCAAAACUAUUUUAUUCCCCUCCACAGGGCUCGUGGCAAAGGAAGGCUUGUUGUGGAAUUCCUCUUGUGUAAUAAUUGGGAUCAUGGAUCAGAGUGGCGCAGCGGAAGCGUGGACGCUUCGCUUUUGGAUAUGUAAUUAGUGGAGAAUUUGAUGUAAUAUUUGAGUUUUAUCUUGUAAUCUGUUUGAGGAAUGUAGUGAACGACUGAGUCCCGGCGAGAGCUGGGCAGGUGGCCCGCCGAACCCUCUGGUUCGCCUUAGGGGGAGGUGGGGCCGUCACAGUUGGUAUCAAAGUUUUAUACAUCUUUACUUUCAAACUAUUGUAACAAUGUUAGCAAAUUGAUACCAAUUGUUCAAAAUUGUUCAACAUAUAGGGAUGUACUUUUGAUAUUUAAUCACCUCCACCUACAAGGUGUUCAACAUAUAGGGUCGUGUCAUAAAAAUUGUUCAACCCUAGUUCAUAAAAAUGAGUUUGAGAACCCGGAAAUUUUCUAAUUUUCUAGGGUUUUAUUUAUUUAAUGGCUUGUUUUCUGCGUUUUCUUUAGCAGGGAAAUUUUCUAGAUAUUUUUAAUGAGCAGAUAUAGUUUUUGGAUGAUUUUUCUAGUAUCAAAUAGGUUUUGAGAAAUUAAGAGUGUAUACCGGAUGUGGGACCCACUAGGGCGAAAAGUUCGGAAAAAUUCGACCAAUUAGGUUAAGUUCCGGAUACUGGGUGAAAUUUAUCGGGUGUUAAGAGAUAAAUAGAGGAGGUGAAGUGAUUGAUGUGAGAGGGAAAAGAAGGAUAGGAAUGCAUUAAUGAAGUGACAAGUGUCACCUUAAGAGUGGUGGUCACUUAUUUGACUUAUUUGACUUUUUGACCUUUCUUACCAAUUGAUUAAAUAUCUCAAAAUUACCACAAAAAUCACUCUUUUCUUCACCAUUGUGGCCGGCCCUCUCUAGCUAAGAAGAAAGAAAAACUCUCCAAGAUUCUUGCUUCCAUCUUGCUUGAGUGUAAUCAUCCAACCCUUUGAUCUUGUUUCUACUCCAUAAAAUCUCUCCAUUUGGUACUAGAAAGUGAUUUGGUGAAGUGUUUAAGGAAGCUAAGGUGUCCAACAACUCUCCCUCUCUUGUUUACUAGAUGAGUGGUGAUUGAACUUCCUCCUACACUUAAUGAAGUUUAAGUUGUGCUUAAUGGUAGCUAAAGUGAUGAAUUUGUGGUUUAUUUCUUGGUUUGGGAUGAAUUGGUGAAGUUUUCAAUUUAUUGAGGAAUUUUUUGGUUUAAUAUGAAUGUGAUGUUGUGGAUAUAUUUGAUGAUGGUAAUUGAUGGUUAAUGACUCUAGUAGGUGUAAAUGAUUGGAAAUUCCAACCAAUUUUGGAUUUGGAAGGAAAUGUGAAAAGUUAGGGUUUCAUAACCCCCUUUCUGUCUGGUUUUGUAUCAUAUGGUUAGAAGCCGAAUUGGCAUUUUCUUAAAACAUGAAAGUUGUAGGUAUUGAUGUAUUGGAGGUGCCUGUAAAAUUUUAGGUCAUUUGGAGUAGUGUAGAGUGGGAAAUAUCGAAUUUACUAUUGUUGUUCUGGGUUCUUCAGGAUGGCCGAACUGCGACUGUAAUCGGCUGUUUUGACUGGAAUUGCUUUGGAUUUGGUUGUUGAGGUCUUCUGAUGAAAUGUAGCUUGAUGUCCUAUCUAUCAUAUACCUUUGGAAUUUCUGCAUUCGGACCUGUAUAGACCGAGUUGGACUAAUUACAGCAUAGUGUCAUUUGUAAACCUGCAAUUAAGGUUCUCGUUUGGUAUUUUGCAUAUUUGACCUAGUUGUGCUAGGAUUUGGACUGAAUGGCCUUCUACAUUGUUGUAGCCCUAUAUCUUAGCUUCGAAACGGUGGGUUUUGUACCUUCAUCCGACAAUCGUAGCGCCUUUGGUACCAUUACCGCAAAAUGACGUCCAAAACUGUUUUUCUGGUUUUGAGCUUAACUUUCAUUUCCGGACUUUUCCCUAGCUUGACUUGUACUAGUACUACUUGGAGCUUGCUGGAUGGUUAUUGGAUGAACUUAUUGUUGUGUGUGUACCUUUGGGUUUGAAUGAGAAUAUAAUGAAGCCGUGAUGGCUGGAAAAGUUAGCAAAUUUAGUGGAAGUGCUGUCCGAACUUUGAAGGGACUUGUUGCAUUGGGUUUGUGAUCUAAGACUUGGAUUUGAGCAAGGCAAUGCUAUAUGAUGGAUGGUUUCAGAGCCGUGGAGGUUAGUGACCUCAAACUAUUUCUAAAAUUAUUUAUGAACCAUUUCUUGCUUUAUUUACUUUUGAACUGUUUUCAAAGUUACUUUUGGAACUGUUUUCUUACAUAUCAUGCGUGCUUGCAUAUCAGUGUCUUGUUAUUACUGAUUUUGCUUUCAAUGAUUGUUAAAACGAGUUUUCUAGGCGAGUGUGUACUUUAUCGCACUCGACCUAAAUAAAUAUAAAAUUUUCAAUGAUUAAUGAUUAAAUGCUACUUACGCAUGAAUGUAAGCCUUUUGGGCUGAACUGGCCAUUGCCCCUUGUUACCGGUCGUCUCGAGCCAGAAGCGGACUCGGUCGGGCGACUAGGAACUUGGGUGAACGUUUCGGUAUACUCGAGUAUUACCUUGUAGGUUGGUGGAGCCUGGCCAAAAGCCAGGGACGGGGUGAAUGAAUGCACGAAUGAAACCAAAUGCAAUGAAAUGACAGGAGAACGUUCGAUUGAGUGUAAUUUGAGUUCGUUAUAUGAACCCACCCUAUAAGCUUAGGUCUAGAAAUUACUUCUACGAAGUAAUGUGCAUUAGGGGAAUUUCUUGGUUAGUUAUUACCUCUCACAUUGAGUGUGAAUGAUCCCGAUGAAAACUAUAUACACUCAUGCUGCUUGUCACAGUUUUCUUUAGGUGCUUUUUAGGAUAAUUCACGAAUGAACCCACCGUAUGAACGUUCGACUGUACUACUCACUCAAUUACCACAGUUGGUAAUGGUAUAACCAUGUUUGUGGUCAUAAAAAAGAUAAUUUUGGGGUAAAAUUAUCCAAUAUAUUUCAUAACAACUAUAUGUUGGGCUUAUUACAAAUCGUAAUUUCAAGUCAUUUAGAGGAGUGUAGAGUGAGAAAUGUCGAAUUUCCUAUUGCUGUUCUGGGUUCAUCAGGAUGGCCGAACUGCGCCUGUAAUCGGCUGUUUUGACGGGAAUUGCUUUGGAUUUGGUUGUUGAGGUAUUCUGAUGAAAUGUAGCUUGAUGUCCUAGCUACCAUAUGCCUUCGGAAUUUCUGCAUUUGGACCUGUUUAGACUGAGUUGUACUGAUUACAGCAUAGUGUAAUUUGUAAACCUGCAAUUACGGUUCUGGUUUGUUAUUUGGCAUAUUUGACUUAGUUGUACUGGGAUUUGGACUGAGUGACCUUCUACAUUGUUGUAGCCCUGGUUCUUAGCUUCGGAACGGUGGGUCUUGCACCUUCAUCCGACAAUCGUAGCGCCUUUGGUACC
This 8192-nucleotide long non-coding RNA is filed under the name Coffea arabica (coffee). Its description in RNAcentral is "long non-coding RNA (CARA_LNC007766)". The record is from RNAcentral. Lineage: Eukaryota; Viridiplantae; Streptophyta; Magnoliopsida; Gentianales; Rubiaceae.